GAAAAAAAAAUCGGAUUAGUUGUUCGGAUCCUGGUGAGCUGUCCGUUGUCUACCCCGCCUCUUGCCCAUUUACUGCUGGAGAAAGACACCAGCCCCCUAGUGAACCUUUAAAGAUCAAGCAGAUAUAUAUGAAAAGAAAUUAUAGAAAGGGCAUGCUCUGAUGGUACAGGGGUAGUGAGCACAAACAAUAUAUGGAGGCCUUAGUCCUCGACCUGGCUGACCUGGGUUUGAUUCCUGAGGUCCUUUACCGCAUGUCUUCUGUCUGGUAAUAUCACACCAUGACACAAAUCCUUAUGUCUAAAAUUUGAGAGGUAACAAGGAAAGUUCAGUCCUGCCAGACAUGACCUGGAGGAGCAGUUGCACGAGAACAACAACCUGCAGUUGCCUGUUAGAGUCCACUAGGAGACAUAAGCUGAUUGCAUCAACCUGUCAGACUCAAGGCAGGCACAUUUUCACGAGAAGCACCAGAAGCUUCAGCUCAGUUGUUCAGUUCUACUAAAGAGAUUAUUAGUAGUAUUAGUAUUAGAUUAUUCAGCAUUAGGAUGAUUACAAUCUGUGUUGUAGUUCUGAUGGCCUCGUCUUCCUCCAUCUCUAUUGAAAUCCAGCAGCCUCCCUUUGUAAUCGGCCGUGAAAGAGAUCCCUCUGUAACUUUAAAGUGUGAGCAAGACCACGACGAGCAUUACUACAUGUACUGGUACAAACAAGAGAGCACGGGGAAAUUAGAGUUAGUCGCACAGUCUCUGGGUGAAAACACUUGGGACAUCGAAGCGCCUUUCAACAAGUCCAAGUACACCGUGUUGCGACCCACGAUUCUGGACACCGCUCUGCAGAUUCACCGGCCCCAGGCUAGAGACUCAGCCGUGUAUUACUGCGCUUCGAGAAGAGCACAAUGAUUCAGAAAGCCUCUGCAGCUUAACAACAACCUGGAGAAAUCACAGACUAAAGAG
This is a non-coding RNA of Fundulus heteroclitus (mummichog), 947 nucleotides long. NCBI's taxonomy places the organism in Eukaryota, Metazoa, Chordata, Actinopteri, Cyprinodontiformes, Fundulidae. The record is from the annotation of a RefSeq genome assembly.